GACGAACGCUGGCGGCGUGCUUAACACAUGCAAGUCGAACGGAAAGGCCCUGCUUUUGUGGGUUGCUCGGGUGGCGAACGGGUGAGUAACACGUGAGUAACCUGCCCUUGACUUUGGGAUAACUUCAGGAAACUGGGGCUAAUACCGGAUAGGAGCUCCUGCUGCAUGGUGGGGGUUGGAAAGUUUCGGCGGUUGGGGAUGGACUCGCGGCUUAUCAGCUUGUUGGUGGGGUAGUGGCUUACCAAGGCUUUGACGGGUAGCCGGCCUGAGAGGGUGACCGGCCACAUUGGGACUGAGAUACGGCCCAGACUCCUACGGGAGGCAGCAGUGGGGAAUAUUGCACAAUGGGCGGAAGCCUGAUGCAGCAACGCCGCGUGCGGGAUGACGGCCUUCGGGUUGUAAACCGCUUUCGCCUGUGACGAAGCGUGAGUGACGGUAAUGGGUAAAGAAGCACCGGCUAACUACGUG
RNAcentral lists this ribosomal RNA (468 nucleotides) under uncultured bacterium. RNAcentral's name for it is "partial 16S ribosomal RNA". It matches the Rfam family "Bacterial small subunit ribosomal RNA", at positions 28 to 507 of the family's 1533-position model. The record is from RNAcentral.